Phascolarctos cinereus (koala) is the source of this 405-nucleotide long non-coding RNA. RefSeq lists it as uncharacterized. NCBI's taxonomy places the organism in Eukaryota, Metazoa, Chordata, Mammalia, Diprotodontia, Phascolarctidae. The record is from RefSeq and is a predicted model, not a curated record.
UGGACUGCUUUAAGCCAACAAGUUUGUGGGGGGGUGGCGGGGAAAACUGGGACAGCCAAGGAAGCCUCUCCUUCAACAAGGACCCCGCCACAAGAGAACGAAAUAAAGAUGGCAACAGUCAGAGACUUCCUACGCGGCUGGCCCUUUAACAGUGAAAGUGCCACUCAGCAAAGACAGUUACCUAUGUGUGGGGAAAAAGUUAGAAGACAUCGGAAGAGAAAAAUAGGAAGGCAAGUGUGAACUUCAGAAUCUCUAAGAAGUCCCGUGCUAACAACCUGUUAGAAUCUGCUCUUCUGCACAUGUUGUUUUCCUCAAGUGUCUACAAAGAACCACAAACCACCAUGAUCAUCUGCAGCUUUCUACCCCACAAGUGUCUCUGAAUAAACUUGCUUUCUCAUCCCUGUC